This 811-nucleotide ribosomal RNA is filed under the name Shouchella hunanensis. RNAcentral's name for it is "bacterial SSU rRNA". It matches the Rfam family "Bacterial small subunit ribosomal RNA", at positions 61 to 854 of the family's 1533-position model. Lineage: Bacteria; Bacillati; Bacillota; Bacilli; Caryophanales; Bacillaceae. The record is from RNAcentral.
GUCGAGCGGACAGAAGGGAGCUUGCUCCCGGAAGUCAGCGGCGGACGGGUGAGUAACACGUAGGUAACCUGCCCCUUAGACUGGGAUAACUCCGGGAAACCGGAGCUAAUACGGGAUAAUAAAGAGAAUCACCUGAUUCUCUUUUGAAAGACGGUUUCGGCUGUCACUAAGGGAUGGGCCUGCGGCGCAUUAGCUAGUUGGUAAGGUAACGGCUUACCAAGGCGACGAUGCGUAGCCGACCUGAGAGGGUGAUCGGCCACACUGGGACUGAGACACGGCCCAGACUCCUACGGGAGGCAGCAGUAGGGAAUCUUCCGCAAUGGACGAAAGUCUGACGGAGCAACGCCGCGUGAGUGAGGAAGGCCUUCGGGUCGUAAAGCUCUGUUGUGAGGGAAGAACAAGUACCGGCGUAACUACCGGUACCUUGACGGUACCUCACCAGAAAGCCACGGCUAACUACGUGCCAGCAGCCGCGGUAAUACGUAGGUGGCAAGCGUUGUCCGGAAUUAUUGGGCGUAAAGCGCGCGCAGGCGGCUUCUUAAGUCUGAUGUGAAAUCUCGGGGCUCAACCCCGAGCGGCCAUUGGAAACUGGGAAGCUUGAGUGCAGAAGAGGAGAGUGGAAUUCCACGUGUAGCGGUGAAAUGCGUAGAUAUGUGGAGGAACACCAGUGGCGAAGGCGACUCUCUGGUCUGUAACUGACGCUGAGGCGCGAAAGCGUGGGGAGCAAACAGGAUUAGAUACCCUGGUAGUCCACGCCGUAAACGAUGAGUGCUAGGUGUUAGGGGUUUCGAUGCCCGUAGUGCCGAAGUAA